UGGGCAGCCCAACAUUAGACUAAAUUAAAACGAAAGAUCAAAAGUGCAACAUUUUAAGAGGUUAAAAUUGAACAAAGAGAAAAUGUAUCUUUUUCUCGUAUAGUUAAUUAUAGAUUGGAGUGUUCUCCAUAAUUUCGGUGUCAUGUAUUGGUUCACUCACUCAAAAACGCGUCGAGAAUCGUAUCUUUUUAAGUUGUUCCGUUCUUACAUCGAUUCUGUAUUGCCCUCAGGCACCCAUUAAGCCUCUUCAAUCGAUCUUCUUCAAAAUGCUUCGUCUUUGCAAUUGAUUCAUACUUAAUUUCCUUGACCCCCAAAUUCUGUUUUCCAGAUUCAGUUGCGGGAAAAUGGAUGCUUUGAUUUGAUUUCUCUUGGGAAUGGCAUGGCAUUCUCUAUCACCUUCUUCAAAUCCUCCGCUCUCUUUCUCACCAUUCUCUCUGUUUUCAUCUUCUUCGUCCUCUUCACUCCCUAUCCCUCGCCGGAAUCCCCCUCCAGAAGGUCCCUCAUCGCCACCGGCGAUUCCAAUUCCAGUUUCUCUCCGACCCCAUCUUGUUCCUCUGUUGAAUCUCACUCUGAUGGCCUUAUUAACUACUUAUAUUUCCAUUUUUGCUUCUUCGAUGAAAACCCAUCUCUCUCUGUCCCUUUUCUCACUCUCUUUCUUCUCCUCCAUUUCUACAUCCUCAUCAAAACCGCUCAAGAUCACUUCUCCAUUGUCACUUCCAAGCUCGCCUUUCACCUUAACUUGUCUCCCAGUAUGGCUGCUGUGACGCUCUUGGCUUUGGGUAAUGGCGCUCCUGAUGUGUUUGCAUCUGUUGCUGCGGUUCGUGGUGGCCAGUAUCGAACUGGGUUUGGUGCAAUUCUCUCUGCCGGCACGUUUGUUUCGGCUUUUGUUGUUGGGUUUGUGGCUAUUUAUGCUGCUCCGUUUUCGGUGAAUCCGGCUCAGUUUGUGAGGGAUGUGUUGUUCUAUUUGACUGCAGCAUUGUUUUUGUUCUAUGUGUAUCUUAGUGCAGAGAUUUUCUUGUGGCAAGCUGUUGGGUUUGUUGGGUUUUAUUUGUUCUUUGUUGGAUUGGUGUUUUGGAUGGAUUUGAGAAUGGGAAGUGGGAAAGCUAAGAGUGGGGGUGAUAUGGGAGUGACUAGAGAAGCUGAUGUCUUCCAUGGUGACUUGCCUAAAGACUGUGAGAUUGGAGAAGGCUACAGAAAUGCAGAUGAAGGAAAAACCAAUUCUGGAUUUUGGAAAGCUCUUCGAAUGAUCCGAAAAGCAUGGGAAGCUCCUGUUUCAUUUCUUCUGAAGCUCACCAUUCCCCAACCUGCACCUUCUGAAUGGAGCAGACUCUUUGCAUCGGCGAACAUUUCUCUCUGUCCUGUUGCGCUUCUAUUUGCCUGUAACUCAUUCAUGUCAUUUAAUCAUCCCAUUGCUUUCCUCUUACCAAAUACGCAUUUACCACUUUGGUUCGUAGUACUCCUAGCAAGCUCCUCUCUUGCAAUUCUACACUUUGUCAUGGAAACUGAGCCCCCAAAAACUGAGCAAGUUCCUAUUGUGCUUGCAGCAUUUGUCAUGAGUGUAUUUUGGAUUUCGACCAUUGCUGGGGAGCUGCUGAACUGUCUUGCAGUUCUUGGAGUGCUUCUUAAACUCCCACCAGCUCUACUUGGUCUUACUGUGCUUGCUUGGGGAAACUCAGUUGGGGAUCUUGUGGCUGAUGUUGCUCUUGCAAAAGCAGGCCAACCUUUGCUUGCUAUGGCUGGAUGCUUUGCAGGGCCAAUGUUUAACAUGCUUGUGGGACUUGGAACAGCUUUAGUUAUACAAACAGCUAACAGUUAUCCAGACGCCUACCAGCUUCAAUUUCAUAUCGGAAUCGUCAUUGCAUUCGUGUUCCUACUUUUCAGCCUGAUGGGUUCCCUACUUGUAAUUAUUUGGUGCAGAUUUCGAGUGCCCCGGUUUUGGGGAUUCUGCCUUGUACUGUUGUACAUUGUCUUCAUGGCCGCCAGUUUACUGAUGGCCAAGUUUUCUCCAUGAUUAAACAUCCUUCUAAAUUAUAAUCUGAAAGUAUAAGACCAAGAAACUCCAUUUAUGCCAAUGAAGCAGCGUUCGGACAACAACCGAGAAUAGUAGUUGCUAAUUGGCAGUUUAACUGGGCAGUGUAGACAUAAAACCAUCCCAUUUCCCCUCUCUGCCAACAACCUGAAGACAAUAUUAAGUUGGCAUGGUUGUUGGCUUGGAAUCAUGGAGGGAAGCCCUUUCACUAACACAAAAUUUAAAGUUGUUGAAAAGAGAAGUAACAAUGGAAGCUUCAUUUCAGAGUUGGGUUAGGAAGUUCACAGCUGAUGAAGAUAUUGUUCAUAUCUUUCUUAGUCAGAUGCAGAGAAGAUAUGGUGAAGCUCAUUUGAUAAAAUUCUUUAUUUAUUUAUUUUCUAGCAACUGUUGGAACAUGAACAAUUCUGAGGUUUGAUAAUUAGUUGGGAAUUGUGAAUCAAAUGCUUUUCAUUGAUUAAAAUGUACGUAAACAAAAUUUCUAUUACCAUGUCUAUCUGUUAAACGUAACAGACAAAGUUUUAAAUUCUAUCAAUCACGUUGACACACAAA
RNA transcript from Cucumis sativus (cucumber), 2578 nucleotides. It is a transcript of the gene named cation/calcium exchanger 5, with no coding region annotated. The record is from RefSeq and is a predicted model, not a curated record. The transcript is spliced from 3 exons. Lineage: Eukaryota; Viridiplantae; Streptophyta; Magnoliopsida; Cucurbitales; Cucurbitaceae.